GAGGAUAUAGCUCAAGCGCUUAGAGCACAUGCCUGGCAUGCAUGAAGUCGUGGGUUGAAUCCCCAGUACCUCU
RNAcentral lists this transfer RNA (73 nucleotides) under Camelus bactrianus (Bactrian camel). It matches the Rfam family "tRNA". From Rfam's summary of the family: Transfer RNA (tRNA) molecules are approximately 80 nucleotides in length. Their secondary structure includes four short double-helical elements and three loops (D, anti-codon, and T loops). Further hydrogen bonds mediate the characteristic L-shaped molecular structure. tRNAs have two regions of fundamental functional importance: the anti-codon, which is responsible for specific mRNA codon recognition, and the 3' end, to which the tRNAs corresponding amino acid is attached (by aminoacyl-tRNA synthetases). tRNAs cope with the degeneracy of the genetic code in two manners: having more than one tRNA (with a specific anti-codon) for a particular amino acid; and 'wobble' base-pairing, i.e. permitting non-standard base-pairing at the 3rd anti-codon position. Lineage: Eukaryota; Metazoa; Chordata; Mammalia; Artiodactyla; Camelidae. RNAcentral also lists the same sequence under 2 other names. The record is from Rfam by way of RNAcentral.